GCCGGCCAAGGGACUCUAGCAUGGGAAAUUCGGCUAGGUAUUGUAGUAGUGGGAAUUUCGGCAUUUGGGGUGUGUUGUGCCAAAAUUCUGAUCAUCUUCUCUUCUCCUCUUUUCUUUAUUUCUUUUUCUCCAUCUACCUUCUCCUCUUCCUUCUCCAUAGCUGAACCCUUCUAUCUCUUUACUCUUCAUCACAUCCUUAAUCUUUUUAUUUUUAGCCUUAUAAGCCGAACAUCAUAAAAAGCCGAAAUCCCGAAAACUUAUUCUUUUUGUGCUAAUUUCUUAUAACCGAAACCACAUCUGUUCCCUUCAUCAUUUGUGGCCGAUUCACAAGCCCUCUAAAACCUUAAUUUUUGACGACAAGACCAUAGCAAAACCCUCUCGUUUUACCUUUCUAAACACAAGUUGCAAAAAAGUCAAAAAACCCUACAUUAAAAGGGACUUGGCCGAAUACUGAUGUCAUUGAAAUAUCGACUUUUGUUAUCAUCUGAGGGCUUAGAUCUACAUCGAGAUCGAGUGGGAAACUCGUUGGAAUCAGUCACUAAGGAAUCGGUGGUAAGUCUUCGCCAAAACUUAAUCUUCUUACAUAUUUUAGGAAAAGUCGAAAUCUCUAAAAGUUAAGGAGGUUGUCGAUUUGGACUUGUAACCCUGAAGGGUCGUAAUAACUAUUUUUUUUGGUAAUAGCGUGAUUUAGAGGCGGUUGAUCAAGAGCUUGGACAGGUGGAACGAUCAGAUCUUUGGAGUUAACCAUCUUUCGGCAGUAAGGUAAGAGCAAUAAGGGUUUUUGGCAUGUUUGGCCAAAUGUGGUAAGGGACUAGAUACUCAAUUGUAUUUUUGAUAUUUGGAGUAAUAGUAAGUGAUUCAAUUGUAGGCAGUUUGGGUGUAGAUCUCGAUGUGGAAAUCCCGAAAAUAGGUGUGUAACUGACACCCUUUCAUAGGCUAGAUCGGAAAAAGCCGAAAAGCCGAAAUACAAAAAAAUUGGUACUUUGGGCGCUUGCGAGUGUGCGAAUGCUCGUGAGAUGUAUGGGUAAUUAUUACUGGUAAUCAUAAGUGAUAAAACUGCAGUACGCGUGAUUUCGUGUGUUAUGAUAUUUUGGGCUUAAUGGGCCAAAUCUGGGUUAAUGGGCCAACGGGCCCAAUUCGGUAAGAACGCUCAGUAAGUGUUCUGGCUAAACGUAAUAGCUACGAUAUGCAUGAAAACCUUAGAAAUAGUUAGAUUUACUAGAAUACCCCUAUGUAUGUAAAAUUACCAUUAUACCCCUAUGUGUGCAAAAUGACCUUUAUACCCCCUAGGGUUAAUUUUGUCUGAAAAGCUUGUUGAUUUAAAUCUGUAUGAUGUAUGCCAUGAAUGAAUAUUUGUUGCAUGGGGACAUGGGUUAUAUUUUGGAGGAAGCGUCCUGGUGGCUAUACCACAAUUAUCUGAUCUGGUGGCUCUGCCACAUAUAUCUGUUCUGGUGGUUCUGCCACGAUUAUCUGUAUCUGGUGACUCUGUCACAUUAUCUGUUCUGGCAGCCAUGCUGCAUAAUUCUGUGGCGUGUAGCGGUUGGGUGGGUCGAGUAGUCUCCCCACAUGGUGAAAGGUUGGUAAAGGGGUGUAUGUGGUUGGUUAUUGGUUGGGUUCUGCAUAUACAUGAAAUAUCUGAUCUGAUCUGUUAUGGGCCUAUGGGCUUAAUUCUGUAUUCUGUUCUAGGCUAAGGCCAAUUUAUUCUGUCACUGUGGUUUGAACUGAUUUAGGCUAUGGUUGGGUUGGAUUACACACUGAGUUUCCCAAAACUCACCCCUUAUUUUCACCCUCGCAGGUAAUCCUCAACCAUAGUGGGCUUGGAGCUAUGAGGGAUUUGGACUGGCCACAUGUUUCUACAAACCUGGUUUCUUUCUGGUGAACUGGACGUCCUUUUAAUUUCAUUUAUGGUUUUGGGUUUUAAGUGUAAUAAGGCCUUUUAAUUAUUUUUUUAUGGAUUUGUUUUACUUUUAUUAUUUUAUUUUAUUAUGAUGAAAAAAACUAUGAUAACUAAGGAAAAUGGAUUAGCUUUAGGACGCGUUUUCAAAAACAUCAAGGGAUUUCAAAAUAACACGAUUACAAGUAAGACUUCCGCUAAGCAAACGUUUUCAAACUUAAUCCUUUUCUUAAGAUAGACACAACCAGAUGGUUUUCUCAAAAUUAUAAGAGUCGUUAAGGUGUGGCAAUGUUGGUGUGCAUGUCUAGGAUUGGAACCGAAGGGAGCUUGGUACUUAAGCAGUUCGACGGACUCACCUCCUCUUCUUCCUGGUUUCUUACCUGGUGCACAGCUUCUGUUCACUUUAACCUGCUUUAGAAAGUAUCUUUUACAACCCCAACUAAGUUUUCCAAACUAAGUAAUACGGAACAUUUUGAACGCAUCAAUGUGGCGCACCGGAUCCGGUCAUAUCGUCUAGGCCGGGUUUGGGGUGUUACAUUUAGUGGUAUCAGAGCCAAGUUGCAACAACUCGGCUGUGGAUUAGGUUUACAAAAAUGAAGAUUUUAAAAAAAAAUUAGUUUUUAAAUCUGGACUUCUAAAGGUAGCAUUCCGAAUCUCCAGCCCAAGCCUGUAAGUAUUCUGAAUUUUUCUGAAUAUAUUCUGAAUUAUCUGUCUGUACUAAAACUUUACUAGAAUACUCUAGACAGGAUGCUACUGAAACCCUAGAAAAGCUUGCUAAAAGACUGAAACUGUAGUUAGACGUCGAUUCUACGAAAACCAUCUCUGAAUUACUAUUUGAAUCAUAAAAAAUCUGUAAUAAUCACUGGAAUGCUAAAAUUAAUGCAUAAAAUUCGUAAUCAGAUUAUACGAUAUGAGUACGCGAGCAGCUCGAGGUAGAGGCCGUGGACGAGGCCGAGGAAGAGCUCGAGCGGGAUCUUCGUCUUCAGGACAUAUGCCAGCGGCAGAAGCACCGGUACCUUCGGAAACGGAAUUGGAAUCUCAUGAUCAUGGUGCCAAGGAUGACGCCCUGUCGCAGGCAAUGCUUUGAGUUCUGGAAAGGGUUACCGGGGCAAGUUCGAGCAAUGGAAUUCGAGGGUCGAUUUCUGAAUGACUCCGGGCUAAUGGAGUGGAGAUCUUUAGGGGCGUAUCUGGUGUAGCCCCGAAUGUGGCGGAAUAUUGGUUGGAGGCCAUGGAACGAAUUAUGGAUGACUUGGACUGUUCUGUGGAGUAGAAGCUGAAGGGGGCUGUAUCGUUGCUGCGAGAUGAGGCUUAUCAGUGGUGGCUCACCGUGAGGGAUGGAACCCCAGCUGAUAGGGUUACUUGGGAGCUGUUUAAGAUAGCCUUUAAAGGAAAGUACGUCAGGGCAAGUUAUGUGGACGCCCGUAGGAAAGAAUUCCUGAAUCUGGUCCAAGGAGGCAAAACUGUCGCUGAGUACGAGGCUGAAUUUCUGAGGCUGAGUAGGUAUGCUGUGGGAAUAGUUGCUACGGAGUAUGAGCGUAGCGUUCGCUUUGAGGAUGGACUCAGAGAUGACCUUAAGGUGCUAAUUGCUCCACAGAGGGAGCGUGGCUUCGCGGUUCUGGUGGAAAAAGCUAAGAUUGCCAAAAGGGCGAGAGUGGAGGAGCCAGUUCGAUCCGUUCCGAUGAAUGUGGUUAGACCGCCAAUCUGUGGGGAUUGUGGAAGGUACACCCGGGUGAGUGUAGGAAACGUUCUGGUGCUUGUUUUCGAUGCGGAUCUAUGGAGCAUAGGGUUAAAGACUGUCCACAGAGAGCUGAUCAGGCUCAGGUUGCUGUACAGAGGGUUGUUCAACCCAUGAGAGGUGGACCACAACCACUGAGAGGACGUGGACAAGGUAGGGGCGGAAAUGGGAAUGGAAAUGGUCAAGGUCGAGGGGCGCCUGGUAGGGGAGCCGAAAAUGCUGAGGCUCGGCAGCCAGCAUUGGUGUAUGUAGCUCGUCGUCGAGAGGAGGGCGACGCACCUGAUGUCAUAACUGGUAUGUUUUUAGUUUCUAAUAUGCCGUAUACUGCCUUGGUGGAUAUUGGAUCUACUCAUUCUUAUGUUGCGUGUGCCAUAUCUGGGUCUUUGGGAGUGCAUUCUGAGGAGAUAGUGAGUGGGGUAUCUGUGUUAAGUCCUUUGGGUCACUCGGUUAGGGUAGACAAGCUGUAUAAGGAUGUACCCUUAGAAACUCAAGGUAGGAUCUUUCCUGGUGAUCUAAUGGAGUUGUCGUUUGGAGAAUUUGACAUCAUUCUGGGAAUGGACUGGCUUGUUAAGCAUAAGGCGACUCUGGACUGUGCUGCUAAGCGGAUGGUGCUAAGGACCACGGAAGGGGAUGAGGUUAUGGUAAUAGGUGAGCGAAGGGACUAUUUGUCUAAAGUGAUAUCGGCAUUGAGGGCUGAAAAGUGGAUUCGGAAAGGGUGUGAGGCCUAUUUGGCAUUUGUAAGUCAAACAAAUGUAGAGGGGCUGACAGUGGAUAAGGUUAGAACUGUAAAAGAGUUCCAAGAUGUCUUUCUGGAGGAGCUUCCGGGAUUGCCUCCAAAUUGGGAAGUCAAAUUUGGAAUCGACCUGUUGCCUGGGACAGCACCAGUGUCCACUGCACCAUAUAGGAUGGCACCGAAGGAGUUAGUGGAGUUAAAGGCGCAAAUUCAAGAAUUGUUGGAUAGGGGCUUUAUUAGGCCAAGUGUGUCUCCAUGGGAAGCAGCGGUGCUAUUCGUGAAGAAGAAGGAUGGGACGAUGCGCAUGUGCAUUGAUUAUCGCCAGUUGAACAAAUUGACGAUUAAGAAUAAGUACCCUCUGCCAAGGAUUGACGAUCUGUUCGACCAGCUUAAAGGAGCUUCUGUAUUUUCCAAGAUCGAUCUUCGAUCUGGAUAUCAUCAGUUAAGGGUCAAGGAGGAAAAUAUUCAUAAGACAGCAUUCAGGACUCGUUAUGGUCAUUAUGAGUUUCUGGUUAUGCCAUUUGGACUAACAAACGCUCCUGCAGCGUUUUUGGAUCUGAUGAAUCAUGUGUUCCAACCAUUUCUAGAUCGGUUCGUGGUCGUCUUUAUUGACGAUAUUCUGGUAUAUUCUGAGACCGAAGCAAAACAUGAUGAGCAUCUCCGCACUGUGUUACAAGUGUUAAGGGAGAAAGAACUUUAUGCGAAGUUCAGCAAGUGUGAGUUCUGGUUGAGGGAGGUAACCUUUUUGGGGCAUGUGGUCUCUGCAGAGGGGAUUAGAGUGGAUCCUCGAAAGAUUGAAACAAUUUUGGAAUGGAAGCCAUCUAGGUCGGUUUCAGAAAUUCGAAGUUUCAUAGGAUUGGCAGGUUACUACAGAAGGUUUGUGGAAGGUUUUUCUGUGAUGGCAGCACUCUCACAAAACUUAUAAGGAAAGGAGUACCGUUUGUUUGGACGGAGAAGCAGCAAGAAGUUUUUGAGAGGUUGAAGAAAGUUCUGACUGAAGCACCUGUGUUAAUUCAACCAGAGUCUGGAAAAGAUUUUACUGUGUAUAGUGAUGCAUCACACCUAGGUUUGGGUUGUGUGUUGAUGCAAGAGGGUAAGGUAGUUGCUUAUGCAUCUCGACAACUUAAGCCUCACGAAGGGAACUAUCCUACUCAUGAUUUGGAGUUAGUAGCAGUGAUCUUUGCGCUUAAAAUUUGGAGACACUACUUGUAUGGGGAAAGGUGUAUUAUAUACAUAGAUCAUAAGAGUCUCAAGUAUUUGCUGACUUAGAAGGAACUGAACCUUAGGCAAAGGAGAUGGAUCGAGUUGCUUAAGGAUUAUGAUUGUUCAAUCGAAUAUCACCCAGGCAAGGCUAAUAUGGUGGCCGAUGCUCUAAGUCGUAGAGCUGUAUCUGAUCUGAGAGCAAUGUUUGCUCGUCUAAGUCUGUUUGACGAUAGAAGUCUGUUGGCUGAAUUGCAAGUAAGGCCAACCUAGGUGGAUCAGAUUAAAGAGAAGCAGUUGAAGGGUGAGUCUUUGGUCCCUCGUUUUCAACAAGUUAAGGAAGGGGGAACUUCUGAGUUUGGGAUAAAUGAUGGUGGGGUUCUGUGUUUUCGAGGAAGAAUUGGUGUUCCGAAGGACUCUGACUUAAGACAGUCAAUUUUGAAGGAAGCUCAUGGGGGACUUUGUGCUAUGCAUCCUGGAGGGAAUAAGUUGUACCAUGACUUGCGAGAACUGUAUUGGUGGCCUGGACUUAAGCGAGAGGUAACUGAAUUUGUGGGGAAAUGUCUGACAUGCCAGCAGGUGAAAGCUGAGCAUCAGUUACCUUCUGGAUUAUUGCAGCAAGUAAAAAUACCACUUUGGAAGUGGGAGAGGGUAACCAUGGACUUUGUAAGUGGGCUACCCUUGUCACCAUCGAAGAAAGACUCGAUAUGGGUGAUUGUGGAUAGGUUGACCAAGUCGGCUCAUUUUAUACCUGUUCGCACAGACUUUUCUCUUCAGAAGUUAGCCAAGUUGUAUGUGGCGGAGAUUGUGUGACUGCAUGGAGUUCCGGUUUCGAUUAUCUCUGAUCAGGAUCCUAGAUUCACAUCUCAAUUUUGGCAAAAGUUGCAUGAGGCGUUGGGAACGCGAUUGAACUUUAGUACGGGUUUCCAUCCCCAAACUGAUGGUCAGUCGGAAAGAGUUAUUCAGAUUCUGGAAGACAUGUUGAGGGGAUGUGUUAUUGAUUUCCGAGGUAGUUGGGAGGAUUACUUGCCUUUGGCAGAGUUUGCAUACAACAAUAGUUAUCAGUCGAGUAUUCGAAUGGCACCUUAUGAAGCACUGUAUGGGCGAAGGUGUCGAACACCUAGUUGUUGGACUGUACUGGGGAAGCGACAAGUUCUUGGACCUGAGUUGGUGGCAGAUACUGAGGAUAAGGUCAAGUUAAUUAGAGAUCGGUUAAAGGAAGCGUCUGACAGGCAAAAGUCAUAUGCAGAUCUGAAGCGUAAGGAGAUUGAAUACUCAGUGGGCGAUAUGGUCUUCUUGAAGGUUUCACCUUGGAAGAAGAUACUAAGGUUUGGCAAGAAGGGCAAGUUGAGUCCGCGGUUCAUUGGGACUUAUCGGGUUUUGAAGCGAGUAGGCCCAGUGGCUUAUCAGUUGGAAUUGCCUCCAAAGCUAGACAGCAUUCACGAUGUUUUUCACGUCUCCAUGUUAAGGCGUUAUUGUUCUGACCCUACUCAUGUCGUGCCGGUUGCAGAAAUUGAGGUGCGAACUGAUUUGACCUUUGAGGAGGAGCCUGUACAAAUAUUGGAUCGAGACGUUAAGGUUCUUAGGAGGAAAUCAGUACCAUUAGUGAAAGUGCUUUGGCGUAACCAUGGCAGAAAAGAAGCUACUUGGGAGCCAGAGGAGGCAAUGCAACAACAAUACCCUCAUCUGUUCGGAUCAAGUAAAUUUCGAGGACAAAAUUUCUUUAAGGAGGGUAGAGUUGUAACGCCCCAAUUUUUGGGAAUUCUGUAAAAGUUGUAAAAUUUAAAAUUCUGUGUUCUGUUUGUUAUGUGUAGGAUUAAUCAUGUUGGUGGGCCUCUAGAAGGCCCAAGCUUAGGAUAAAACCUGGUAGUUUAAUUAAAUUUAAUUUUAUAAGAGAAAGGGGUUCUGAUAAAUUGGGCUUUUAGGAAUUAUUUGUGAAAAAUGGAUCACAAGGAAGCAAGUGGUAAAGUGGCAUGUGACGUCACUGGGAAGGAUGUAGUGGCGUGUGGAAGCUUGGGGAGGACCCAGGUUCAAGUCACAAUGACAGUAAAUUAAGUGAUUAAUUUUUAUGUACAGGAAAGGGAAGUAAUGGAACUGAAAUAAAAGUCUGUCAGGAAGAGUUUAAGAAGGUAAGGGGAUUGAAUAAGGAUAAAGAUAAGGGAGGAAAUCUAGGAGCUGAUCAAGGAGCAAGAGGUGGCCGGCCAAGGGACUCUAGCAUGGGAAAUUCGGCUAGGUAUUGUAGUAGUGGGAAUUUCGGCAUAUGGGGUGUGUUGUGCCGAAAUUCUGAUCAUCUUUUCUUCUCCUCUUUUCUUUAUUUCUUUUUCUCCAUCUACCUUCUCCUCUUCCUUCUCCAUAGCUGAACCCUUCUAUCUCUUUACUCUUCAUCACAUCCUUAAUCUUUUUAUUUUUAGCCUUAUAAGCCGA
Molecule: long non-coding RNA, 7986 nt
Filed under: Gossypium barbadense (sea-island cotton)
Lineage: Eukaryota; Viridiplantae; Streptophyta; Magnoliopsida; Malvales; Malvaceae
Description: long non-coding RNA (GBAR_LNC012391)
Source: RNAcentral